RNAcentral lists this ribosomal RNA (566 nucleotides) under uncultured archaeon. RNAcentral's name for it is "bacterial SSU rRNA". It matches the Rfam family "Archaeal small subunit ribosomal RNA", at positions 312 to 879 of the family's 1478-position model. The record is from RNAcentral.
CGCGAUUCGCCCUUCGGGGUGCCCAGGCGCGAAAACUUUACAAUGCCGGCAACGGCGAUAAGGGAACCUCGAGUGCCAGGUUACAAAUCUGGCUGUCGUGAUGCCUAAAAAGCAUUGCAUAGCAAGGGCCGGGCAAGACCGGUGCCAGCCGCCGCGGUAACACCGGCGGCUCGAGUGGUAACCGUUAUUAUUGGGUCUAAAGGGUCUGUAGCCGGCCGGGUAAGUCUCUUGGGAAAUCUGGCAGCUUAACUGUCAGGCUUUCAGGAGAUACUGCCUGGCUCGAGGCCGGGAGAGGUGAGAGGUACUUCAGGGGUAGGGGUGAAAUCUUGUAAUCCUUGAAGGACCACCAGUGGCGAAGGCGUCUCACCAGAACGGACCUGACGGCAAGGGACGAAAGCUAGGGGCACGAACCGGAUUAGAUACCCGGGUAGUCCUAGCCGUAAACGAUACUCGCUAGGUGUCGGCCACGGUGCGACCGUGGUCGGUGCCGUAGGGAAGCCGUGAAGCGAGCCACCUGGGAAGUACGGCCGCAAGGCUGAAACUUAAAGGAAUUGGCGGGGGAGCAC